Long non-coding RNA from Aedes albopictus (Asian tiger mosquito), 310 nucleotides. RefSeq lists it as uncharacterized. The record is from RefSeq and is a predicted model, not a curated record. The transcript has 2 exons. Lineage: Eukaryota; Metazoa; Arthropoda; Insecta; Diptera; Culicidae.
GAACAAGUACAAAUUGUGCGCUGUUGUUGGGUGACUUGUCCGUGAGCUGAUACUACAAUUUAUUGAAGCUGCUUGAAAUAUAAGCUGCUCUCAAUAUGGUAUCUUAGUUCCGAACGCAUCACACGCCCCAACAAACUUCAAUAAAUUGUAAUUCCACAAAAAGCACUCCGCCAUGGAAAGUGUAGAAGAAGAGCUUUCCCUUCUAGAAAAGAAGAAUGAGUUGUGGCGGAAGCAAUACGAUAAAAGGGUGAAAAUUAUGGAGCUUCGCUACGAGCAAGAUCUAGCAAAAAUCGACGAGGAGUUCAGGAAA